This 468-nucleotide ribosomal RNA is filed under the name uncultured bacterium. RNAcentral's name for it is "partial 16S ribosomal RNA". It matches the Rfam family "Bacterial small subunit ribosomal RNA", at positions 28 to 507 of the family's 1533-position model. The record is from RNAcentral.
GACGAACGCUGGCGGCGUGCUUAACACAUGCAAGUCGAACGGAAAGGCCAUGCUCUUGCGGGGUGCUCGAGUGGCGAACGGGUGAGUAACACGCGAGUAACCUGCCCUUGACUUUGGGAUAACUUCAGGAAAAUGGGGCUAAUAUCGGAUAGGAGCUCCUGCUGCAUGGUGGGGGUUGGAAAGUUUCGGCGGUUGGGGAUGGACUCGCGGCUUAUCAGCUUGUUGGGGGGGUAGUGGCUUACCAAGCCUUUGAAGGGUAGCCGGCCUGAGAGGGUGACCGGCCACAUGAGUACUGAGGGACGGCGCAGACUCCUACCGGAGGCAACAGUGGAGAAUAUUACGCAAUAGGCCGGAGCCUGAGGCAGCGGCGCCGCGUUCGGAAUGACGGCCUACGGGGUGUGAACAGCUUUCGCCUUUGACGAAGCGUUAGUGACGGUAAUGGGUAAAAAAGCACCGGCUAACUACGUG